GGCGGCGGCGGCGGCGGCGGUGGUGGCCGGGCGAGGCCACUUGAAGAGCUUCCUGUGCACUGCAAUACACUUCACCGUGCUCGUGCUGGUCGUCGCGAGGCGACACCUGUAGGGCGCGAGGCGGUAACACCAGCAACAGAUGGUGCCUUUAGGACCAUGCACGAGGAACGGGCUCACAUCAUUUGCACUAAAAGGAUGGGAUGCAGCAGAGUCGGAGGAUGCGGUCCAGGAGAAGGUGUGCAGCGGGUAGAAGACCGACAGAAGAGGAGGUUAAAUGUUUUGUUUCAGGGUCGGAACUUUGUGUCUGAUUGAACGCCAUGAUGUCAUGAAGACUUACUCAGGCCCGAUGUGGAGGCGCUGCGAGUUUCAUAACAAGCUGCCACACUGAACCCCAGAAGCCCUGCAGUCAGUCAGUUGCACGGCCUGCCCCCCUGCGUGACUCUCCGAUUCUGUCAUCAGUUACAAAACGGUGAUGUAAUCCUCCCCUGGUAGAGUGGAGGGAAAAGCUUACUAAUAGGACUUCUUUGAAUUUUCCCCUCCCACGAUGUGAGUGCAUCAAUGAGAAAGGGGUUAAACUGAUUAGACCUUCAAAUCCUGAAAAAUGCACUGAAAUAGACCUGCUCUUAAGCUUCAUAAUGCACUGUACUUUUUUUUUUACAUAAGCUAUACUGUAAGUGUACACGUCAGUAAUGAGAGGAUGAAUGUUUUGUAGAUGUUUCCUACAGUGUUUAGAUGAUGUUUACACAUUCUCCUGUGCUUUAUCUGUUGGGGCAGUGUUAAGUGGCUUUUUAAUCAUAAACAAGCUGCAGGACCUGUGCAUAGGAAGCUAUGCUGUCUGUGAUUUCUUGAAAUAAGCUUUCUCUGGUAUAUCAAGUGUAAUGUGAGCAGUCUUUUAUAAAGUGUGUGCUAUUUAUACUAAUUCAAUAUUUCAUAUGGAUUUUUAGUAGUUAAAAUAAUAAAAUCCUUCUGAAAUGAA
Siniperca chuatsi (mandarin fish) is the source of this 976-nucleotide long non-coding RNA. RefSeq lists it as uncharacterized. The record is from RefSeq and is a predicted model, not a curated record. The transcript has 2 exons. Lineage: Eukaryota; Metazoa; Chordata; Actinopteri; Centrarchiformes; Sinipercidae.